RNAcentral lists this ribosomal RNA (496 nucleotides) under uncultured bacterium. RNAcentral's name for it is "partial 16S ribosomal RNA". It matches the Rfam family "Bacterial small subunit ribosomal RNA", at positions 28 to 506 of the family's 1533-position model. The record is from RNAcentral.
GAUGAACGCUGGCGGCGUGCCUAAUACAUGCAAGUCGAGCGAACAGACGAGGAGCUUGCUCCUCUGACGUUAGCGGCGGACGGGUGAGUAACACGUGGAUAACCUACCUAUAAGACUGGGAUAACUUCGGGAAACCGGAGCUAAUACCGGAUAAUAUAUUGAACCGCAUGGUUCAAUAGUGAAAGACGGUUUUGCUGUCACUUAUAGAUGGAUCCGCGCCGCAUUAGCUAGUUGGUAAGGUAACGGCUUACCAAGGCAACGAUGCGUAGCCGACCUGAGAGGGUGAUCGGCCACACUGGAACUGAGACACGGUCCAGACUCCUACGGGAGGCAGCAGUAGGGAAGCUUCCGCAAUGGGCGAAAGCCUGACGGAGCAACGCAGCGUGAGUGAUGAAGGUCUUCGGAUCGUAAAACUCUGUUAUUAGGGAAGAACAAAUGUGUAAGUAACUAUGCACGUCUGGACGGUACCUAAGCAGAAAGCCACGGCUAACUACGU